Molecule: unclassified non-coding RNA, 253 nt
Filed under: uncultured bacterium
Lineage: Bacteria
Description: contains 16S-23S intergenic spacer region
Rfam family: Bacterial small subunit ribosomal RNA
Source: RNAcentral
UACAGAGGGAGCAAGCGUUGUUCGGAUUUACUGGGCGUAAAGGGCGCGCAGGCGGGCAAAUCAGUCGAACGUGAAACCUGCCGGCUCAACCGGCAGCUUGCGUUCGAAACUGUUUGCCUUGAGUCCAGGAGAGGAGAGCGGAAUCGGCAGUGUAGCGGUGAAAUGCGUAGAUAUUGCCGAGAACACCGGUGGCGAAGGCGGCUCUCUGGCCUGGAACUGACGCUGAGGCGCGAAAGCUAGGGGAGCGAACAGG